This 3137-nucleotide long non-coding RNA is filed under the name Nicotiana benthamiana. RNAcentral's name for it is "long non-coding RNA (NBEN_LNC007965)". The record is from RNAcentral. Lineage: Eukaryota; Viridiplantae; Streptophyta; Magnoliopsida; Solanales; Solanaceae.
GCCGGAAUCAUGAUGGCGCUUUACGUUUCAGAUACUAGGCAAGCCAACAGUUACAAAUUUAAUACACUAACCCUUGACCAAAUGAGUAAAUAACAUAAAUUAAAUCAGAAUAGAUUAAAAGGAGUGCAGAACUUCAUAAUGACCCAAGUACUUAUACACAACUAUCCUAAAACCGGUGUCACAAGUCACGAACUUCUAAGAGUCACUACAAACACUAGCUGAAAGAAAAUACAACCGUUUUUCAAUUAAAAGAAAUAGUAAACUGGAAUAACUGGAAGGGAACUCGAGGGUCUGCGAACGCCGGCAGAUCUACAUUGGGUCUCCCAUUGGAUUGAAGGCAGCAACUCAACUCAGGUCAACACGGCCCGGUACCGAAAUCCGCAUAGAAAGUGCAGAGUACAGUAUCAGUACAACUGAUUACGUGUACUCGUAAGUGCCGAUCCUAACCUCAGCGAAUUAGUGACGAGACUAGGAUAAGACACAUGCAUAACCUAUGCAAUUAAAUAAUAUACUAGUAGAAUACAAUUAAUAUAAGCGAAAUAGAAAUUUACGGGAGGGGAAGCAUGCUAAGGGGGUUGCAGGUUAAUCACAGUAAUAAAGGAAAUUUAAACAGCUAGUGCACCUUGAACCAGUAAUAAUAAGUAAACACAACUAACAAAAAAUGCACAGAAUCACCCUUCAUGUUUUUACUCUCAGCCUCACAGGAUAAUCAAUAAUAGAAACGUGCACGGCAUCACCAUUCGUGCUUUAUCGCUCAACCUUACCAUAUCAAUAAUAGAAACGUGCACGGCAUUACCCUUCGUCCUUUAUCGCUCAACCUCACCAUAUCAAUAAUAGAAACGUGCACGGCAUUACCCUUCGUCCUUUAUCGCUCAACCUCACCAAAACAAGUGACAACAAUAAUAGAGAGAUAGAAAUGAUAACAUCAAGUCUUACUUCAUCAUCUAACUCCACAAUACCAACCUCAACUUUCAGUCAACACUCAAUCAAAACCAAAUUUAGUUAAACAAGAUAGGAAAUGGCUCAACACAUCGAAUAGAUAAUGUAACAUGGAUAAUAUGACCAAGGAUAUAACAUUUACAAGAAUAAGACUCAAUUAUAUGCCAUGACUCGACAACAACAUAUAGAUACUCGUCACAUCACCUAUACAUUGUACUUAACAUCUAACACGUAACAAAUAAACAAUUAAUACCUAAUCCCUAAAGCUAAGGUUGCCUUAGGAACUACCCAUGAUUACAAGAAAUUUGAUUUAGGUAAUUUUAAAAAAAUCAACAAAAGUCAACACCCUGACCCCUUUGGUCCAAAUAUGAAAUUCAGAACAAAAAUCGAUUAUCCAUUCACCCCCGAGCCUGGAUAUACAACUGUUUUUGGAAGCCGACUUCAAUUUAAGGUCUAAAUUCCCAAAUUUUAAAAUCCCUAGUUUCUACCCAAAAAUCUCCAAUUCCACCAUGAAAAUCUUAGGUUCUAGGUUUAAAUCUUAUAAAAUAAAGUGAAAGACCGAAGGAGAUGAGCUAAGAAUCAUUUACCUAUGAUUUGGGGAAGAAAUAAUCUUUGGAAAAUCGCCUAUAGGGUUUCUUGUUUUGAAAAUUUGAAGAAUGAUUGAAAACUCACGUCUAAGUCCCUCUUACACAGCUGCAAAUGUCGCAUUUGCGCCCUGAACUUCAAAUUACGAAGCUUGCAAAUGCGAGAAAUGUAUCACAAAUGCGAACCUAUCGCAUUUCUGCUUCUAUCGCAAAUACGAAGGACCCCUUCCCCAGACCAACUUCGCAAAUUCGAAGGGUUGUUCGCAUUUGCGAACAUAGGCUGGCCCAGCUUCUCUUCGCAUGUGCAAUGAGAAGCUCGCAAAUACAACAUCAACAGUAGUUGCAAAUGCGAAUCCUGACCUCACAUUUGCGAGGUCUGAGGCCUCAACAUUGCUGAAGAAUACCAGAAACUUUUCUAUGUUCCAAUUUGCUUUGUAACCUAUCCGAAACUUACUGGAGCCCUCGGGCUCCAAACCAAGCAAAUAAACAAGUCAUAAAACGUCAUAUAAGCUUGCUCGUGCGAUUAAAUCGCCAAAAUAACAUCUAGAACAACAAAUUUAGCAUCAAAUCACAUGAAAUUCUUUAGAAGACUUUAAAAUUUAUUUUCUCGAUCGGAUGCCCGAAUCACAUCAAAUCAACUUCGAAUUUUAUCAAAUUUCACAUACAUGACUUAAAUAUUAUAUUAAACAUGUGCCGAGAUCCGAAAUUAAAAUAGGGGCCCGAUACUUAUGAUCAAACAUUAAUCGAUUUCUUUAAAUCAUUAGAUUUUCAUACUUACAAUUCAUAACAAAUAUUUAUUACUCGGGCUAGGGACCUCCGAAUCUAAUUCCAUUAAUACGCCCAGGUCCUAUAUUCAAUACAGAACCAUGUGGACUGUCAAAAUACAAGUCCGGGUUCGUUUACUCAAAACAUUGACUGAAGUCAACUAAAUCAACUUUUAAAGGGAAAAAUUAUUAUUUUUCUCAAAUUUCCAUCUAAAGGCUUCCCGGAAAUACACUCGUACUGUGCACAUAAAUCGAGUAGGAAUAAAAUGAAGUUUUGAAGGCUUGCAAUAUGGAAGCGAGUUCUACAACAUAAGAUGACUUUUUGGGUCAUCACAACAAGAUUCUAUGAACAUGCUAAAGGGAGUGAAAAUAUCCCACAAACCAGAAAAUUCACCCAAAUAUUUUGCAACUUUCAAAGAAGAACGAGACCAAUAAUUCACUUCAAAACGUUUUGUUAUUCAGAAGACGGUCCAAUACAGCUUCAAUUUUAUAUCGAAUCCCCCGGAAAUUAUCUAAAAUUUACAACAAUAAAAGGGAUGGUCAUUUGUUCUAUCCCAUUCUUAAUACCCUAGGAAAUUUUUCUCGUCUCUCCCCAUUCUAAAAUCUUCUUUUCACUUCACCCACCAAAAUCCCAAUCAAAUACUUCUAAAUCUAAAUCUUCUUAAGAAAUUCGAAACAUUAGCGAUGACUAAACCCACAAAGUUUUUAGAUUAUAAGAAUCAGAGAAACUAACCGAAAAGGGAGGAUUUCACAUAUUUGAGCACUGAUACCCGGUGUCUCGACCACUAUUUGAUGUUGUCAGUCGUUAGGUGGACUGGAAGAGAAAUUGGAGAGGAAAAAGCUAGUGGUA